AGGGAUGUAACUCAGUUGGUAGAGUGCCUGCCUCACAUGCACAAGACCCUGGGUUCAAUCCUUAGCAUCACAC
This 73-nucleotide transfer RNA is filed under the name Ictidomys tridecemlineatus (thirteen-lined ground squirrel). Its description in RNAcentral is "Spermophilus tridecemlineatus (thirteen-lined ground squirrel) tRNA". It matches the Rfam family "tRNA". Rfam says of the family: Transfer RNA (tRNA) molecules are approximately 80 nucleotides in length. Their secondary structure includes four short double-helical elements and three loops (D, anti-codon, and T loops). The record is from Rfam by way of RNAcentral. Lineage: Eukaryota; Metazoa; Chordata; Mammalia; Rodentia; Sciuridae.